RNAcentral lists this ribosomal RNA (495 nucleotides) under uncultured bacterium. Its description in RNAcentral is "partial 16S ribosomal RNA". It matches the Rfam family "Bacterial small subunit ribosomal RNA", at positions 30 to 507 of the family's 1533-position model. The record is from RNAcentral.
UGACCGCUGGCGGCGUGCCUAAUACAUGCAAGUCGAGCGAACAGACGAGGAGCUUGCUCCUCUGACGUUAGCGGCGGACGGGUGAGUAACACGUGGAUAACCUACCUAUAAGACUGGGAUAACUUCGGGAAACCGGAGCUAAUACCGGAUAAUAUAUUGAACCGCAUGGUUCAAUAGUGAAAGACGGUUUUGCUGUCACUUAUAGAUGGAUCCGCGCCGCAUUAGCUAGUUGGUAAGGUAACGGCUUACCAAGGCAACGAUGCGUAGCCGAACUGAGAGGGUGAUCGGCCACACUGGAACUGAGACACGGUCCAGACUCCUACGGGAGGCAGCAGUAGGGAAUCUUCCGCAAUGGGCGAAAGCCUGACGGAGCAACGCCGCGUGAGUGAUGAAGGUCUUCGGAUCGUAAAACUCUGUUAUUAGGGAAGAACAAAUGUGUAAGUAACUAUGCACGUCUUGACGGUACCUAAUCAGAAAGCCACGGCUAACUACGUG